UGGGGAAUAUUGCGCAAUGGGGGAAACCCUGACGCAGCGACGCCGUGUGAGGGAAGAAGGCUUUCGGGUCGUAAACCUCUGUCAGGAAGGAAGAACCUCUCAGGGCUGAACAAGCCCUGGGACUGACGGUACUUCCAGAGGAAGCACCGGCUAACUCCGUGCCAGCAGCCGCGGUAAUACGGAGGGUGCAAGCGUUAAUCGGAAUCACUGGGCGUAAAGCGCGCGUAGGCGGUCUUUUAAGUCGGACGUGAAAGCCCUCGGCUCAACCGGGGAAUUGCGUUCGNAACUGGGGGACUUGAGUCCUGGAGAGGGUGGCGGAAUUCCGGGUGUAGGAGUGAAAUCCGUAGAUAUCCGGAGGAACACCGGUGGCGAAGGCGGCCACCUGGACAGGUACUGACGCUGAGGCGCGAAAGCGUGGGGAGCAAACA
RNAcentral lists this ribosomal RNA (428 nucleotides) under uncultured bacterium. Its description in RNAcentral is "bacterial SSU rRNA". It matches the Rfam family "Bacterial small subunit ribosomal RNA", at positions 355 to 774 of the family's 1533-position model. The record is from RNAcentral.